GAGGGUUUUUGGUCUAGUAUGGUUCAGACUGGUCGAGUAUUGUUCAGACCUUUGGUUAAGUAUGGUUUAGACUGGAAAAAUAGGUCGAGUACAUGUCAAGAAUGGGUUAAGACUGUUUCAGACUGGUCGAGUAAUAGUUCAGACUAUUUUCAACAGCAAAGAUAAGGGUCAAGUAUGAUUCAGUACAGUCAAGUAUGGUUCAGACUGG
RNAcentral lists this long non-coding RNA (208 nucleotides) under Mytilus galloprovincialis (Mediterranean mussel). The record is from RNAcentral. Lineage: Eukaryota; Metazoa; Mollusca; Bivalvia; Mytilida; Mytilidae.